Molecule: transfer RNA, 71 nt
Filed under: Hylomyscus parvus
Lineage: Eukaryota; Metazoa; Chordata; Mammalia; Rodentia; Muridae
Description: tRNA-Gln
Rfam family: tRNA
About the family: Transfer RNA (tRNA) molecules are approximately 80 nucleotides in length. Their secondary structure includes four short double-helical elements and three loops (D, anti-codon, and T loops). Further hydrogen bonds mediate the characteristic L-shaped molecular structure. tRNAs have two regions of fundamental functional importance: the anti-codon, which is responsible for specific mRNA codon recognition, and the 3' end, to which the tRNAs corresponding amino acid is attached (by aminoacyl-tRNA synthetases). tRNAs cope with the degeneracy of the genetic code in two manners: having more than one tRNA (with a specific anti-codon) for a particular amino acid; and 'wobble' base-pairing, i.e. permitting non-standard base-pairing at the 3rd anti-codon position.
Source: RNAcentral
UAGAAUGUGGUGCAAUGGUAGCACGAAGAAUUUUGAAUUCUUAGGUAUAGGUUCAAUUCCUGUUGUUCUAG